Molecule: small RNA, 164 nt
Filed under: Brevundimonas abyssalis TAR-001
Lineage: Bacteria; Pseudomonadati; Pseudomonadota; Alphaproteobacteria; Caulobacterales; Caulobacteraceae
Description: caulobacter sRNA CC2171
Rfam family: caulobacter sRNA CC2171
Source: Rfam by way of RNAcentral
CAACAGCUGAAAGGAGGUGAUCCGGUGUCUCAUUGUCACUCGACGCGAGCGGAGAUCGGAACCCGGACCUCUUGCGAGGCCCGCGCCUGACCUUUCAGGCAAGGAUCUGAUCGGCCGCUCAGCGGUCAGACAAUGCGAGGCCGCCGGCGCAAUCCGGCGGCCUC